This 489-nucleotide ribosomal RNA is filed under the name uncultured Arcobacter sp. RNAcentral describes it as "bacterial SSU rRNA". It matches the Rfam family "Bacterial small subunit ribosomal RNA", at positions 894 to 1382 of the family's 1533-position model. Lineage: Bacteria; Pseudomonadati; Campylobacterota; Epsilonproteobacteria; Campylobacterales; Arcobacteraceae. The record is from RNAcentral.
CAGAAACUCAAAGGAAUUGACGGGACCCGCACAAGCGUGGAGCAUGUGGUUUAAUUCGACGAUACGCGAAGAACCUUACCUGGCCUUGACAUACUAAAAAGCUUUAAGAGAUUAGAGCGUGCUAGCUUGCUAGAAUUUAGAUACAGGUGCUGCACGGCUGUCGUCAGCUCGUGUCGUGAAAUGUUGGGUUAAGUCCCGCAACGAGCGCAACCCUCGUGUUUAGUUGCUAACAGUUCGGCUGAGAACUCUAAACAGACUGCCUACGCAAGUAGGAGGAAGGUGAGGACGACGUCAAGUCAUCAUGGCCCUUACGGCCAGGGCUACACACGUGCUACAAUGGGGUAUACAAAGAGCAGCGAUACGGUGACGUGGAGCAAAUCUAGAAAAUGCCUCUCAGUUCGGAUUGUAGUCUGCAACUCGACUACAUGAAGUUGGAAUCGCUAGUAAUCGUAGAUCAGCAAUGCUACGGUGAAUACGUUCCCGGGUCUU